GCCCGGGUGGCGAAAUUGGCAGACGCGCUAGGUUCAGGGUCUAGUGUCCAUCGGACAUGCGGGUUCAAAUCCCGCCCCGGGUA
RNAcentral lists this transfer RNA (83 nucleotides) under Fidelibacterota bacterium. RNAcentral's name for it is "tRNA-Leu". It matches the Rfam family "tRNA". Rfam says of the family: Transfer RNA (tRNA) molecules are approximately 80 nucleotides in length. Their secondary structure includes four short double-helical elements and three loops (D, anti-codon, and T loops). RNAcentral also lists the same sequence under 1 other name. Lineage: Bacteria; Pseudomonadati; Fidelibacterota. The record is from RNAcentral.